AUGGAUAACAACAUUUUAAGUUGGAACAUUAGAGGGCUAAACAACCCUGCUAGACGGAAAGUUGUAGCAAAUUUUGUUCAAAAUCAUCAAUGCAGACUGGUAUGCAUCCAGGAGACCAAACUGAACGUCAUCAACAACCAAAUUAUUUCUGAAUGUUUGGGGAGUCGUUUUGUCGACAACUUUGCAUACCUUCCAGCUGAUGGUACCCGUGGUGGAAUCCUCAUCGCUGCAUCUGCAGACCAUCUGAAGAUUACUAAUCUUACGCAUCUCUCUGGCAUGUACACUUUGACUGUAAUGGUCACGGAUCUCUCUUGCAAUUUUGACUGGAUGGUUACUGGAGUAUAUGGGCCUCAAGCGGAUAAUGAGAAAUCCAACUUUUUGCUGGAAAUGAGACACCUGAAAACAGUUUGCUCCCUGGAAUGGCUUAUCCUUGGGGAUUUUAACCUGAUCAGCAAGGCAGAUGAAAAGAGCAACCAAAACAUCAAUCUGAGACUGUUGCGAAGCUUUAGAGCAGCGAUUGACGAUCUCAACCUCAAAGAAUUACCACUCACUGGUCGACGCUUCACAUGGUCCAACGAGAGGCUCAACUGCACCAUGACAAAGAUUGACAAGGCUCUUUUUACCGAGGAAUGGGAGGCUAAAUUUCCUGACUUCCAAAUGCUUGCUGGGUCUACCGAAAUAUCUGACCACUGCCCUCUAAUUCUCAAAAAACUCAAUAACAAGAGAUUCCCUGGUUUUAGAUUCGAAGCUUGGUGGGCAACGCAAUCAGGGUUCAGAGAAACCGUUGAACAUUUUUGGAAGAAACCUUUCUCCUGCUCCGAUCACAUUCGUAGGCUACACAUCAAGCUCACUAGGACGGCAAAAGGCCUCAGAAAAUGGAGCAAGCAAAUUCUCAAAGAAAGAAAAGUGGCUGCUGAUAUUGCAUCCGAAGUGAUCUUCCAGUUGGACGUCGCACAAGAAUCGCGGCCACUUUCUGUUGAGGAACUAAAGCUGCGCGUUUUUCUCAAGUCCAGAUUACUUGCACUAGCUGCCAUUGACAAGAUCAAGUGGCGCCAACGAUCCAGGUUGAUCUGGAUCAAAGCCGAGGAUGCAAAUACAAGAUUAUUUCACUUGCGAGCAAAUGGCCGAAGAAGAAAGAACCACAUCCCCUUCUUACAUGUGGAUAGUAGAGUUGUAACGGAGCACAAUGACAAAGCAGGGGUUUUAUUUGAUCACUUCAACACCCUGAUGGGACAACGCCAAGCAACUGAAAAGUGUUUGAACUGGGACUACAUCAAUAUGCCCACUGCUGAUCUGAGCCAUCUUGAUCAGCCCUUCACUCUCGAGGAAUUGCAGACUGCUAUAUUUGAUAUUGCCGCUGAGAAGGCACCUGGGCCUGAUGGAUUUAUCAGAACUUUCUUCAAAAAAUGUUGGCACAUUGUCAAGAUUGACCUUCUCAAUGCAGUCAACCAGAUGUCUGCUCUUGAUGGCAAGCAAUGGAACCUCCUCAACACGGCGUACAUCGUGCCUAUUCCUAAGAAAGAAAAUGCCCUCAGACCACAGGACUACAGACCAAUCAGCUUAACUCAUAGCGUUGCAAAAAUUCUUGGAAAACUUCUUGCCAGCAGAGUUGGUCCUGAGUUACAACACAUCAUCUCGGUUAGUCAGAGUGCUUUCCUUAGGGGAAGAAGUAUUCAAGAAAACUUUCUUUAUGUUCAAACCUGA
Molecule: ribosomal RNA, 1704 nt
Filed under: Triticum aestivum (bread wheat)
Lineage: Eukaryota; Viridiplantae; Streptophyta; Magnoliopsida; Poales; Poaceae
Description: partial small subunit ribosomal RNA
Source: RNAcentral